GAUGAACGCUGGCGGCGUGCCUAAUACAUGCAAGUCGAGCGAACGGACGAGAAGCUUGCUUCUCUGAUGUUAGCGGCGGACGGGAGAGUAACACGUGGAUAACCUACCUAUAAGACUGGGAUAACUUCGGGAAACCGGAGCUAAUACCGGAUAAUAUUUUGAACCGCAUGGUUCAAAAGUAAAAGACGGUCUUGCUGUCACUUAUAGAUGGAUCCGCGCUGCAUUAGCUAGUUGGUAAGGUAACGGCUUACCAAGGCAACGAUGCAUAGCCGACCUGAGAGGGUGUUCGGCCACACUGGAACUGGGACACGGUCCAGACUACUACGGUAGGCACCAGUAGGGAAUCUUCCGCAAUAGGCGAGAGCAUGACGGAGCAACGCCGCGUGAGUGAUGAAGAUCUUCGGAUCGUAAGACUCUGUUAUUAGGGAAGAACAUAUGUGUAAGUAGCUGUGCACAUCUUGACGGUACCUAGUCAGAAAGCCCCGGCUAACUACGUG
Molecule: ribosomal RNA, 497 nt
Filed under: uncultured bacterium
Lineage: Bacteria
Description: partial 16S ribosomal RNA
Rfam family: Bacterial small subunit ribosomal RNA
Source: RNAcentral